GUGAGGAAUUUUCCGCAAUGGGCGAAAGCCUGACGGAGCAAUGCCGCGUGAAGGAUGAAGGCCUAUGGGUUGUAGACUUCUUUUCUCAGAAAAGAAUUAUGACGGUAUCUGAGGAAUAAGCAUCGGCUAACUCUGUGCCAGCAGCCGCGGUAAGACAGAGGAUGCAAGCGUUAUCCGGAAUGAUUGGGCGUAAAGCGUCUGUAGGUUGUUUAAAAAGUAUUCUGUCAAAGAUUAGGGCUUAACCCUAGAUAGGCAGAAUAAACUUUUAAGCUAGAGUUUGGUAGAGGCAGAGGGAAUUCCCGGUGGAGCGGUGAAAUGCGUAGAUAUCGGGAGGAACACCAAAGGCGAAGGCACUCUGCUGGGCCAAUACUAACACUGAGAGACGAAAGCGAGGGGAGCAAAUGGGAUUAGAUACCCCAGUAGUCC
Molecule: ribosomal RNA, 426 nt
Filed under: uncultured bacterium
Lineage: Bacteria
Description: partial 16S ribosomal RNA
Rfam family: Bacterial small subunit ribosomal RNA
Source: RNAcentral